Molecule: unclassified non-coding RNA, 1330 nt
Filed under: Daphnia pulex (common water flea)
Lineage: Eukaryota; Metazoa; Arthropoda; Branchiopoda; Diplostraca; Daphniidae
Description: cell wall protein SED1-like, transcript variant X6
Source: RNAcentral
GGGUGACUGAUUUAGACUUAACUGGCGUUUAGCCAAAAUCUUGUCAACCCGAAAAGUUGACAUGAAAUUCCGACGUGAAGCGCUGCCGCUGCCAACCUUCCAAAGCAGACGAAAUAAUUUAAGAAAGAAUCACAAGUGUUUUCUUUUUGUUUCUUUCGUCGUUUCAUCAGCUUAUUAUUAAUAUUCAGAGGGCUUGAAGCCGUCCAUCAAUUGAAACCCUCAUUUUCAACCCUUGGAAAGGACUCAACAUGGUUCGUGGACUUUUGACGUUCGGUGUUGGAAUCUACGCCGGAAUCUACCUCAGUCAAAACUACCAGAUUCCGAGAGUGGACGAGCCAAAAGUCAUGUGGGAGAAGAUCCAGUCGAUCAUGGAGCAGUACAGGAAACCUCCGCCAUCAGGCGACAAAUGAAAACUAUAUAUUUCUCUCUCGCUGUAUAGUUGUCAAACCCCCGACCGUUUACAUCUUUUUUUUCCGAUUUGAAGCCAACUUCCAAAAUUGACAUGAAACUGUCAGUGCCAGUCUUGUUUUUAGGGAAUCUAAAAUAAUAAUACAGAAAAUGCCAAUUGGAAAAAAAAAAGUUGCAUUUGAAAAUCCCGCCUCUUGGCUGAUGACGUAAACAAGACACAGUAACAAGACAGUCUUUCCGGGAGUCUAUUAAAUCUUUACCGAGAGUUUUUAAACUACUUUGAAGUGCAAGGUCAAUCUCUUUUGGGCGCGAUUAGAUAUUCAUGUCGUAUGUUCGAUUCAGUAGAUUGGAAACAGCUAAUGGGAAAACGGUGGGUGGUCUCUGACGCAAUCCCUUCCUACGUGUAUUCUGUCGUCUUCCGGUGUUCGACAAGAUUGGAUAUCGACUCCGUGUCCCGUUAUUGGUUUACCGUCGUUGCAUGUGGGAGGAUGUUUUGAAUGAGAGUCCAGCGAAUAUGUUUUGGCCAAGAGUCCUGUCAAGGGGUACACGUAAGGAAUGUAAUCAUUCACGAAAUAUUCAAAUGCGUCGUCUCUGUGUGAUCCUUCGGGCAACCUUUGUGGCAUUGUGGGCGAUUCUCGUCCACCGUGAAACAUCGUCCAAUUGCCGAUCUUGACAUCUGAGGGAGAUUGAUCUUUUUAAAAUUGAUUGGAUGACAUAAGGUCAACCAUUUUUUGAUAAAAGUUGAAUCGCUAGCUGAUGAUUGAAGACUUGUGUAAUCGUUCGCGAUUUAGUUUUGUAGUUAUGAAUGAAAAGCGGUUUAGUUGAAAUCUUCAAAGAACAUUCUUGGCUUUUUAAUUGAAAAACGGACAUCUGUGCCAAUUCCUUCAACCGUCUGACAUCUUCAAAGUGAGGCUUCUACAGU